CCAAUCACCGCCCCUCUGGAGACCCCAGCCUAUGGGAUGGAGGUUGACAUCACGCGCCAAUCGGCAUGGCUUUUAGAGAAAGCGGCUCACUUUUUGAAUUGUUUGUUGCUGACACCGGCGAGGAAUGGCGGUAACAGUGAGGGGAAUCGGUGCUUGAAAAGGUGGACUUUCAAGGCGAUUUUUGAGAGUGUCAUCGUAGAAGAGUACAAACAAUGGCUGACAGUAGUGUAUUAACAUCCACUAUUGAAAGGACAAGCUUGGCAGACUCCUCUAUUUUUGAUUCUAAAGUUACUGAAAUUUCCAAGGAAAAUGUACUUAUUGGAUCUGCUUCAUAUGUUGAAGAAGAAAUGCCUCAAAUUGAAACGAGAAUGAUAUUGGUUCAAGAAGCUGGAAAACAAGAAGAACUUAUACAAGCUUUAAAGACUAUUAAAAUAAUGGAAGUCCCUGUUAUAAAGAUAAGAGAAAGUUGUCCUGGAAAAUCGGAUGAAAAAUUAAUAAAAAGUGUUGUUAAUAUGGAAAUUAAAGUACCCUUUGUAAAGAUGGAAUCAGUGGAAGAACUUGAAAGUUUGGAUUCUCCAGAAUUUGAAAAUGUAUUCAUAGUCAUGGAUUUCCAGGAUUCUGUUUUUAAUGAGUUAUACAAGACUGAUCAUAGAAUUAUUGGGCCACCAGUUAUCUUAAACUGUGCCCAAAAAGGAGAGCCUUUGCCAUUCUCAUGUCGUCCACUCUACUGUACAAGCAUGAUGAACCUAGUCCUGUGCUUUACUGGAUUUAGGAAGAAAGAAGAACUAGUCAGAUUGGUGACAUUGGUUCAUCACAUGGGUGGAGUUAUUCGAAAAGACUUUAAUUCAAAAGUUACACAUUUGGUGGCAAAUUGUACACAAGGAGAAAAAUUCAGGAUUGCUGUGAGUCUGGGCACUCCAAUUAUGAAGCCAGAAUGGAUUUAUAAAGCUUGGGAAAGGCGGAAUGAACAGGAUUUCUGUGCAUCAGUUGAUGACUUCAGAAAUGAAUUUAAAGUUCCUCCAUUUCAAGAUUGCAUUUUAAGUUUCCUGGGAUUUUCAGAUGAAGAAAAAACCAAUAUGGAAGAAAUGACUGAGAUGCAAGGAGGUAACUGUUUACCUGUUGGAGAUGAAAGAUGCACUCACCUUAUAGUUGAAGAGAAUAUAGUAAAAGAACUUCCAUUUGAACCUUCGAAGAAACUUUAUGUUGUCAAGCAGGAGUGGUUCUGGGGAAGCAUUCAAAUGGAUGCCCGAGCUGGAGAAACUAUGUAUUUAUAUGAAAAGGCUAAUACUCCUGAGCUCAAGAAAUCAGUGUCACUGCUUUCUCUAAAUACCCCAAACAGCAAUCGCAAAAGACGUCGUUUAAAAGAGACACUUGCUCAGCUUUCGAGAGAGACAGACAUGUCACCUUUUCCUCCCCGUAAGCGCCCGUCAGCCGAACAUUCGCUUUCUAUAGGGUCACUCCUAGAUAUCUCCAACACACCAGAGUCUAGCAUUAACUAUGGAGAAACACCAAAAUCUUGUACUAAGUCUUCUAAAAAUUCCACUCCGGUUCCUUCAAAGCAGUCAGCCAGGUGGCAAGUUGCAAAAGAGCUUUAUCAGACUGAAAGUAAUUAUGUAAAUAUAUUGGCCACAAUUAUUCAGUUAUUUCAAGUACCAUUGGAAGAGGAAGGACAACGUGGUGGGCCUAUCCUUGCACCAGAAGAGAUUAAGACUAUUUUUGGUAGUAUCCCUGAUAUCUUUGAUGUGCACACUAAGAUAAAGGAUGAUCUGGAAGACCUUAUUGUUAAUUGGGAUGAGAGCAAAAGCAUUGGUGACAUCUUUCUUAAAUAUUCAAAAGAUUUGGUAAAAACCUAUCCUCCCUUUGUAAACUUCUUUGAAAUGAGCAAGGAAACAAUUAUUAAAUGUGAAAAACAGAAACCAAGAUUUCAUGCUUUUCUCAAGAUAAACCAAGCUAAACCAGAAUGUGGACGGCAAAGCCUUGUUGAACUUCUCAUUCGACCAGUACAGAGGUUACCCAGUGUUGCGUUACUUUUAAAUGAUCUUAAGAAGCAUACAGCCGAAGAAAAUCCUGACAAAACCACUCUAGAAAAAGCUAUUGGAUCACUAAAGGAAGUAAUGACCCAUAUUAAUGAGGAUAAGAGAAAAACAGAAGCUCAAAAGCAAAUAUUUGAUGUUGUUUAUGAAGUAGAUGGAUGCCCAGCGAAUCUUUUGUCUUCUCACCGAAGCUUAGUCCAACGAGUUGAAACAAUUUCUCUAGGUGAACACCCCUGUGACAGAGGAGAGCAAGUAACUCUGUUUCUCUUCAAUGACUGCCUGGAGAUAGCAAGAAAACGGCAUAAGGUUAUUGGCACUUUUAGGAGUCCUCAUGGCCAUACCCGACCCCCAGCUUCUCUUAAGCAUAUUCAUCUCAUGCCUCUUUCUCAAAUUAAGAAAGUGCUGGACAUAAGAGAAACAGAAGAUUGCCAUAAUGCUUUUGCCUUGCUUGUGAGGCCACCAACAGAGCGGGCAAAUGUGCUGCUCAGUUUCCAGAUGACAUCAGAGGAACUUCCAAAAGAGAACUGGCUAAAGAUGCUAUGUCGACAUGUAGCCAAUACCAUUUGUAAAGCAGAUGCUGAGAAUCUUAUUUACAGUGCUGAUCCAGAAUCCUUUGAAGUAAAUACUAAAGAUAUGGACAGUACAUUGAGUAGGGCAUCUAGAGCAAUAAAAAAGACUUCAAAAAAGGUUACAAGAGCGUUCUCUUUCUCCAAAACUCCAAAAAGAGCUCUGCGAAGAGCCCUCAUGACAUCCCAAAGCUCAGUGGAGGGAAGAAGUCCUUCCAGCAAUGACAAGCAUGUAAUGAGUCGUCUGUCUAGCACAUCAUCAUUAGCAGGUAUCCCAUCACCCUCCCUUGUCAGCCUGCCUUCCUUCUUUGAAAGGAGAAGUCAUACUUUAAGUCGAUCUACAACUCAUUUGAUAUGAAGCUUAAAAAAUCUUAAUUUAGAGCAACUUAUAAACACUUCAUACUUAAAAACUGACUUAAAUGGUACUUGUCAUUAGCACUUGGGGAAAGCUGGAAAGAAUAAAUGGAGCUGUGAUUCCCUCCAAAAGUAUGGUGUUUCCAGUGAGAGAAAAUAACCUGAGAUAAGGCAUGAAGUUGGAAACAUAUUGGAUGAACACUGGCAAAAUAUUAGCAGGUAGUUAAUUUUAACUUUAAAAGGAAUGCCUCUAGUUUUUCUCAUGAUACCUGCUCUACAACUAGUAUUUUUGUUAUAUCCCCGUUAUCAAUUAAAGACUGUUUGUAUGGGGGUGCAUGGGUGGCGCAGUCAGUUAGGUAUCCACUUUCAACUCAGGUCAUUAUCUUAUGAUUCGUAAGUUCAAGCCCCACAUCGGGCUGUCAGCACAGAACCCACUUCACAUCUGCUUCUCUUUCUGCUCGAAAUUCUUCUCUCUCUCAAAAAUAAAUAAACAUGGAAAAAAGAAAAAAGACUGUAUACUUAAUCUGUUAAGAUGCUUUAUCAUGUAUGGAUAUUAAAUAUAAUUAAGCUUUCCUUCUCUAUUGAGAACAUGUUUUAUUUAGUGAUCUUUAAUCAGUUGCAUUACAGUAAUACAUUUUGUAAUGUUAAUCUAUUCUUGUAUUUGCAGGCUACACCAUAUAAUUUUCCACAUGAGGUAUUGAACAUAGAACCAUAACAAUAAAGAAUCACAUUUAUGAAAGAGAUGUAAGAAAAUGUUAACUCUAUAACAAAUUUGAAAAUCUGGAGGACCUAGACAAAGUAUAGCCAAAGUUCACUCAAGAGGAAGUAGAGAAUUCUAAUGGCCCAAUAAAGAGCACAAGUUAAAUAUGCACUGCUAAAAAAAAGAUGCAAAUUCCAAAUGAUUUUAAAGCUGAGUGCCAGCAUUUAAAGACUACUUAAUGUAUAGUAAUAGUCAUACUUUGCAGAAUUAAAAAAGAUUGUCAGCUAUCCAGUUCAUUUUGUGAAGUUAACAUAAACUUUAUAUUAACGUUUUAAAAGGAUAAUGUAAGAAAGAGAAGUACUGAUUAAUUUCAAUUAUGAAUAUAGAAGCAUAAAUUAAAUAAAUUAUUAACAAUUAAGUCUAGAAGUAUAAUUAAAAUAACAGUCCAGCCAAAUAUAUGACCAUUGGACUGAUUAAUAAACAUGGUAAGUCUAGAUCGACAUAAUGAUCAUGGUAAAUGGAACAUACUUCUCUUGACUGAAGGAAGAAGGAUCAGUCAUGUGACAUACAACAUGAUUACAGGAUAAUGGUGCAUUACAUUGAUUUGAAAUCUGAAUAUAUCCUCAUCUAUUGCUUUAGCCUUCUUAGACUAAAACAGUUUGAUUCAAGUUUAUAUCUCAACUCAGUACCAUUAGGGAGCCAAAAUGGGAAUCAGUUUCCUAGAUGGCUGCAAUAUUAAUGCUAAAGAGCCUUUUGAAUUGUUUUAGGGAUUUUACUGCAUCAAAUAGUGUUCUUUCAAGAAUACAAAUGUGGUUCAACAUUUGGAAGUUUACCAGGAUGACUUAUUGACAGUUUAUAGGAGAAAAAAAAAAUGACAUCAAUAUUUUCUAUAAGGUCAUUUAGUAAAAUUCAGCCACUGUUCUUCAUAAAAUUCCAACUAAGGACUUUUGGGCAAUAUGACUAAAUACAUUCAGAGUGGGUGUCCUUCUAAUAGAAAAAUUAAACGUUUAUGAAAUAUUUAUUUACUUAGAAAGCACGUGCAAGCAGG
This is an RNA transcript of Acinonyx jubatus (cheetah), 4701 nucleotides long. It is a transcript of the gene named epithelial cell transforming 2, with no coding region annotated. The transcript has 26 exons. NCBI's taxonomy places the organism in Eukaryota, Metazoa, Chordata, Mammalia, Carnivora, Felidae. The record is from RefSeq and is a predicted model, not a curated record.